Long non-coding RNA from Balaenoptera musculus (blue whale), 1388 nucleotides. RefSeq lists it as uncharacterized. The transcript has 3 exons. NCBI's taxonomy places the organism in Eukaryota, Metazoa, Chordata, Mammalia, Artiodactyla, Balaenopteridae. The record is from RefSeq and is a predicted model, not a curated record.
CGAGGCUCUAGCCCAGGUGAGAACGUGGGGCUCCGAGAAGGGCCCACGCGGGGUGGGCGCCGCGGGGCAGCCCCGGCCCGACCCGCUCUCCCCGGCUCCCACCUGCAACCCCGGGCGGGCCAACAGGUAAAGCCAGGACUUGUCGGGGACGCUGCUGGAGAGAUGCGGGCGGGUGUCCGGCCAGGUGAGCCUCCAGCCCCCUCGGGAGAGCGCGCUCGCUGGCGUCCGCAGCAGCCCCUCGGAGACAGGAAGCGCGAGGCGCAGAGUGAGCGGCCCAGGAGACACGUGAGCUGAGAGGGCCGCGCACCCCGCGCGCCCUUUAACCACACCUGUCGGAUCCUCAGCCAACAUUUCACAGAUGAAGAGAAGGAUUCUGAGGCCGUGGUCCUCCCGGACGCACAGCUGAGUGUAAAUUCCACCAAAGCAGUGAUUUCUGUCCAUUUGGUCCCUUCAUAUCUCCAGCACCAAGCACACAGUCCCUAAGAACAUGGACUUGGAUUUUUUUCUUCACUGCUGUAUCCCCAGAACCUAGGACACUUCAGAAAUGUCUGUCGAGUGAACCAAGACAGUCCCGUAAGUCUGUCGCACAUCUAAUCCCUUCUUGGCAUCUGCUUCUCUGAAGAUGAGAACCACACAGGUACAACUUCAUGGGUUGUUCAAGCAUUAAAUGAAUUAAUUAGUACAGAACUUAGAAAAGUGCCUGGAACUGAGUAGAUAUCUCUGACCCCCAACCCCAUGGAGCUCCUUCUUAGGGAAUUCAUCGCCUGUCUGCAGAAGACCUCUGUGACCUUCAUCGACCAGGGCUUCUUAGGUAUCCUGAGAAGGCUAUGCUCCCUCUGACCACAGGCCCUUUGCACCCACUGCUGCCCUUGUUGUGGACACUGUGACCCUCCUUCCCCAUUAGCUCCUACUCAUUCUGUGCAUCACAUCUCAAAUGCCACUUCCUCAGGGAAGCCUUCCUGGACUCCUUCCUAUGCUCUCCCAACACCAUGUACCUCUCCGUCAAAGCAUUCCUCAAGGUUUGUCCACUUAUGUGUGUGCUCAUUUAGAUCAUGCUUGUCCCUCUGUAGCAAAGUCCUCACAUACUCACUCUCCCCUUCCUAGAACUCCCAGUUCUCAGCAGAGCAGAGUUGCCCUGAAGAAAGCUUGCAUUUCACAGCCUCCCUUGCGGCUGACCAGCAGGAAGUGUGGGCAGUGGCUCUGAGUUCCCUGCAAAGGGAAGGGCAGCCUCUUUCCAAGUCCUUCCUCUGUGCUGGCUGGAAGGCAGGACGCAGACAAGGGUGGGGAGUGACAGGUACAAGGUAUCCAGACCCCGACAGUGUCCCGGAGCAGAGCUGCCUCUCCAACGUGGGCUUUCAGGAGAGAAAAUAAAAGUCUCCGUUGUUUAA